GGAUGCUCUCGAUUGUGCAUCUGUAGAAGUUUGUGAGUGCUUUUGGUGACAAGCCGAAUUUCUUCAGCCUCCUGAGGUUGAAGAGGCGCUGCUGCGCCUUCCUCUUAUUAUUGACAAGUCCUUCGUGAACUAGCCAGCUAGUUAACUUUAGCUCACAGUUUAUGUAGUCAUACUUUUUCACGUGGUGACAUGCUAGCCCACCAAAGCAAGGAUAUAUCCAGCUAUAUAUUGCCUGAUGGGCUAGCUGGUUAGGCACCUUGGUUGCCUAGUUGGCUACAUUAGCUAAAGUUAACUAGCUAAUGUUGCACCGUAUCUCACUGUCGUGUAGUCUGACUUUCCCAACAGGCGAUGGAUGACAUGUUAGAGAAAACAUUAAAUAUCCCUGCCCUGGUGGACUAGUUAGCAUGUCACCACCACUGGGGUCUGGGGAAAAGUCUGACUCCACGAACGAUGAGCUAACGUAACUAGCUAGUUAAACUUUCACUAAAUAUCCUGGUGGGCUAACAUUAGCUAGCAUGUCAAAAGUGUGACUACACGAACGGUGAGCUAACGUUAACUAUCUGGCCAGCUAGCUCACAAAGGACGUGUGGGCUCAAUGUUUUCCCAUACAUAACACAAACGGUUUUGUUCCAUUACUGCAUCUGUUGGACAUGACUGAUCAAAUGGCCUGUGGAGUCAGGGAUGAAAAUUAAGCUAGCCCGAGGCUAGUACUUUUCAGACUGGGCUAGUGGACAAUGUGCCAAACUAGCCUGACACAGCAGUGAAAUUUUGCCUUUACAAACAUCGCAUGCCACAGAUAUAAGACCUACAUGCUAGUAGAAAUCAUGGUCUGCUGGCCAUUACCCCAAAUCCUUAUGUUCCAUCCCUGCAUCUCAGUCCAGAUGAUCCCCCUACUACUGUUGGUCCUCAGUGACCUCACGGCUGAGGGAUUUAACUUUCCUCUUGAGAAUUAGAAUCAGACGUACAGUCUUAUAGCUCAUAGCAAUACUUCACAUCUUCAGGCAAAUAGUACCCUAGACUGUCCUGAUCAUCUAGUUGAGCAUUCCAAAUAAUUCCUCCAUCCCAGCAGAAAUGUUCCAUCCACAUAGUAGGAUUUUAGAUGUGCAGCUAGAUCAAAACCCAGUCUAUUUUACCGUUACUAUAGUCAAGUCUGUAGGUUAUGGUAUUUUAAUAUAGAUGUUACCAUUUUAGUAAUUCUUUUAGCUAGCUACUUUCAGAUGGGCGAACUGGAAACCCAGUGACAACACACUGGUCUGCAGCUGCCAUUUUCUGUUGGGAAAGAUAAAUGGCCCAGUAUUUACCAGAAAAAAGGUAGCUCAUCCCCCAUGGCAGAAGAGGAAGAUCCAGACUGUCGAUUGGGAAACAAGAACAAACAAUGAGUCCAACAGGAGUGUAUCCCUCAGACAAUCCGGUGCAUGGAUAUCUUGUACCAGUUGUGAUCCGAGCGCGAGCGUCUAGUUGUGGAGACUACAGCAGAUCGAGCAUGUGGACGGACAGACAUGAGGCGUGACAUGCAGAACAUCAAGCUCACCCCACGAGAAGCAGUGCAUGAUCAACGCCAUCCUCAGCAAGGAGAUCUGCUGGAAGUGAUGUACUCUCUCACUCACUCCCUCUGGGGGUAAGACCUAAUUUAAACAUCACAGAAAUAUUUUCCCACUGUGCCCAUGAUAAAAUGCAAUGUCAACUGUUUUACUACUGAAUGAAACGGAGGAGAUGCAUUCAGACCAGCCUGUGAUUGAACUUAACUAUAUUACUUUAGUUGGCUGCUGUGAGCAAAACUUGAAUAUAAUAGAACCUAUUCUAGGAACCUUUUGUUUGUGUAUGAUCUUUAUUCAUUGUUCACUUGUUUUUCAACAAUGUCAGGUACAGGCAGGGAUGACUGGGGCCUUCAUCAAGACACUGGGUUAAAAAAUAAUUUGAACAUCACAUGUAUAAAUUCCCACUGUGCCCAUGAUAAUGUUAACCACAAAUGUAUUUGUAUGUAAUAUAACCUAUUAUGGGAGCCUAGUGUGUUUGUAUGAACUGUGUGGAAUAUUUUUGGAAUAUGAGUCUGUCAGAGGUUGUCAUGCUGGAUGGGGAUGAUGACGGAGGCUUUGGUGGUCCACACAACAAAGAAGUAGGUGUCCCUUCCAGUGAUGAGGAUCUGAACUUGGACCUGGUACCAGUAAGAAUGGUCUUUACAGAGGUGGCAAGAUCCUACCUCCUUGAUAUAGAAAUCCUUUGACUUCACUGCCUCUUCAGUGGUAAGAUCCCUUGCACCAUAGGGACACUUGACCUCCACCACUGCUGUGGUACCCACCAGGCCAUCCGGUGAGGCACCCAGGAUCCCAGACUCCAUGACCCAAAGCCUUGACUCCUGCAGAUCCAUCCCUGUAGCCAUUUUUAAUGCCCUCGUCUUUGAUAUCUAUGCCCCACUUUACAGACAACAAUUCAACCAAUGACUGUGAUCGGAGGACCCUUUUUGGCAGCAACAGAGUAACGGGCUUGGCCAUAACCACUGCUCCAUAACUGCUGGCCGUCAACCUCCCUCUCCUCAUGGUGUGCCAGUUGGGGUUGGUGCGCUGUCCAACUUGGUGCGCUGGGGUUGGUGCGCUGCCGUAAAGCCUCCUGCUGCUCCACCGACAGCGCCAUGCCAGCCAGGAUGCCUGCAAGCCCCAGGUUCCCUUGCUUCUAAACAAUGUCCGGUACACACAGGGAUGACAGAAAGGGUAGCGGUUGAUCUGGCUCAGGUUCAUGGAGAUAUGCCAUUCCAUUGAACUUGCCCUGGAGACGGUUCCUUAGCCACUGAAGAUCGUCCUCUGUGGGAUCCCCUGGACAGAGGGUUGCAGUCUUCGGCCGGGUACAGGUCCGCCACUAAUUGCACCUAGUUGGGCACGGCUGGCUUAGGCUAUAUGGCUACACUUACGAGCUCCACAGAGGCAUUCGCAUGGGGUAGAGAGAAUCCCCUGGUCACCUAUAGACACCUGCCAAGAGGAAGGAUGUUAAGUGCCACGUCUUUCAAUGCAUGACUUUGAACACCUUAAAUCAUUUGUUAUAAGAAAUGUGCUAUAUAAAUAAAGUUUGAUUUGAUUGAUGACAUUAGAAGGUGUAUAAUAUUUCAUAAACUGUAAUUUUCGAGGACAAGUGCAGUUUUCCCAUAAAUGUGUAAUUAAUAACUUGGGAUUUUAUCACUUGACAUGUAAAUCAUAAAGUGGGAAGGAUCCUAUAAAUCAAGACUGUAAAUAAAUAAUGUGCCUUUGAAGAUUUGUCUCUGGUAAUGCAAGUACAAUACAGGCUCGAUUUCUAAACAAAGUCAAUUCUGAAUGUCAAUAGAUUUUUAGAUUAAUUCUCAAUGACAACAUUCUAGAACUGAGUUAUCACUCACCUAAGUCUGG
Molecule: long non-coding RNA, 3374 nt
Organism: Oncorhynchus tshawytscha (Chinook salmon)
Lineage: Eukaryota; Metazoa; Chordata; Actinopteri; Salmoniformes; Salmonidae
Exons: 3
Source: RefSeq, a predicted model, not a curated record